Acanthosepion pharaonis is the source of this 96-nucleotide non-coding RNA. The record is from the annotation of a GenBank genome assembly. Lineage: Eukaryota; Metazoa; Mollusca; Cephalopoda; Sepiida; Sepiidae.
UUGAAACACCGUUUCUCGUAAGAUCAUCGAAGUUAAGCAAAGUCGAGCCUGGUCAGUAACUAGAUCGGUGACCUCUUUGGAAUAACAGAUGCUGUA